GAUGAACGCUGGCGGCGUGCCUAAUACAUGCAAGUCGAGCGAACAGACGAGGAGCUUGCUCCUCUGACGUUAGCGGCGGACGGGUGAGUAACACGUGGAUAACCUACCUAUAAGACUGGGAUAACUUCGGGAAACCGGAGCUAAUACCGGAUAACAUGUUGAACCGCAUGGUUCAACAGUGAAAGACGGUCUUGCUGUCACUUAUAGAUGGAUCCGCGCCGCAUUAGCUAGUUGGUAAGGUAACGGCUUACCAAGGCAACGAUGCGUAGCCGACCUGAGAGGGUGAUCGGCCACACUGGAACUGAGACACGGUCCAGACUCCUACGGGAGGCAGCAGUAGGGAAUCUUCCGCAAUGGGCGAAAGUCUGACGGAGCAACGCCGCGUGAGUGAUGAAGGUCUUCGGAUCGUAAAACUCUGUUAUUAGGGAAGAACAAAUGUGUAAGUAACUAUGCACGUCUUGACGGUACCUAAUCAGAAAGCCACGGCUAACUACGUG
This 497-nucleotide ribosomal RNA is filed under the name uncultured bacterium. RNAcentral's name for it is "partial 16S ribosomal RNA". It matches the Rfam family "Bacterial small subunit ribosomal RNA", at positions 28 to 507 of the family's 1533-position model. The record is from RNAcentral.